CAAUUGACCUUGACUGGGAGUGAACUCAGCCAAGCUCUGCUAUUUCCAAUGGAACACAGCCAAUUUAUGGAAGGGCAAGAAGCUUGUGCUACUAUAGCCUGCUAAUACUGGGAAGAAGUGUCUGUUACACCUCAAGCAGCCUAAGGACUCUGAGAGGCUGCACAGAGACAUGAUAUGAGGUACCAACCCUGGAUCUCACUUGAAAAACUUGCAAAGGAAAACUACUCCCAGCCGCACAGAGAGAAGGACAUGCCCACCUCUCAUGGUAAAAACAUCACUCACAAGUCCUGAAUGAUCUUAAAUGACACAUCCUUUCCCUAAAGUAUCCCAUUUCUUAUCACAACUCCAUGAGGAAAGGCUCAUUACUAUCCUGACUUACUGGUCGUUUCUGGAAGUACUUGGUUAGAGAGGGCUGACACUGAAGAUGUCCAUCAUUGACAGUGAAGAGUUACCCCCGUCAGCCACCACCCAUUAGAGUGAAUCAAGACCAGCCAGAGAUCCAAGACACAGUGGGCGGUUCACCAUCAGCAGAAAGACCACUGAGGAUUUCAGCACAUGAGAACUAAAAGUUCAUAGAAAACAUUUUUAACAAGUCUUUUUCUCUUUUUACAGUUAAAAAACGAUGGUACUGUGUACCCCAAUUAAAU
This is a long non-coding RNA of Heterocephalus glaber (naked mole-rat), 647 nucleotides long. The record is from Ensembl. Lineage: Eukaryota; Metazoa; Chordata; Mammalia; Rodentia; Bathyergidae.